CGAAGGUGGCAAGCGUUACUCGGAAUUACUAGGCGUAAAGGGCAGGUAGGUGGUCUGAUAAGUCUAUUGUGAAAGCUCCCGGCUUAACUGGGAGAGGUCAACAGAUACUGUCAGGCUUGAGUAUAGGAGAGGGUACUGGAAUUCCCGGUGUAGCGGUGAAAUGCGCAGAGAUCGGGAGGAACACCAAUGGCGAAAGCAGGUACCUGGACUAUUACUGACACUCAGCUGCGAAAGCUAGGGGAGCAAACAGGAUUAGAUACCCUGGUAGUCCUAGCCGUAAACGAUGCACAUUAGGCGUGAGGGGUGUCGACCCCCUCCGUGCCGACGCAAACGCAUUAAAUGUGCCGCCUGGGGAGUACGGCCGCAAGGUUG
This 372-nucleotide ribosomal RNA is filed under the name uncultured organism. RNAcentral's name for it is "bacterial SSU rRNA". It matches the Rfam family "Bacterial small subunit ribosomal RNA", at positions 526 to 896 of the family's 1533-position model. The record is from RNAcentral.